UUGUUCUAAUUAAAGAAAUCCUUUUCCGAUGCUAUGUUAUAGCAGUAAUUACAUCUUCGCUAGCAUGAAAUAUUGGUUUAAUCUAAGAAAUUAGCUCCAGCCCAGGAAUACUUACUGGGGGCCAAACAGGUGCCAGCAGCCGCGGUCAUACCUGUCCCUAAAGAUUUCCCUUAGAAACCUUACUUAGGUAAUCUUUUUUAAAGAUAGUGAAAUAUUUUAAAAAUUGAAAGGUCCUACUUCCUAAUAUUUUCCAGAAAAAUCAAAAAUAGAAACUAGGAUUAGAUACCCUACUAUCCAGAUGAUUAUUAUUUCUAAGCAGUAAUCCCUCAAGGCCGAAACUUAAAGAACAUGGCGGCAAGAGAAAACUUCAGGGGAACUUACCAGAUAAUAGAUAACCCACAAGAGGAUCUUACUUGUUUUAAUUUAGCUUGUAUACCACCGUCCAGGGCUUACUUGAAGUGAUCCCGAGAUUCAAAGAAAGCAGACAGGUUAUAGUACAGCCCAUGAAUAAGACAUAAGGUGAGUUACCAAUUUUAAGGUGCUUAGUGAAACGAGCCCUGCCCAAAAGGACUUGAAAGUAAAAAUUAACAAAUAUUCGUUUUGAAUUUAGCUUCUCUCGUGCACAAAUCGCCCGUCACUCUCCNNUUUAAAAGGAGAUAAGUCGUAACACAGUAGGAGCAACUGAAGUUGUUCCU
Molecule: ribosomal RNA, 695 nt
Filed under: Pyramidella dolabrata (giant Atlantic pyram)
Lineage: Eukaryota; Metazoa; Mollusca; Gastropoda; Pyramidellidae
Description: small subunit ribosomal RNA
Rfam family: Microsporidia small subunit ribosomal RNA
Source: RNAcentral